This 439-nucleotide ribosomal RNA is filed under the name uncultured bacterium. RNAcentral's name for it is "partial 16S ribosomal RNA". It matches the Rfam family "Bacterial small subunit ribosomal RNA", at positions 338 to 795 of the family's 1533-position model. The record is from RNAcentral.
CCUACGGGAGGCAGCAGUAGGGGAUAUUGCUCAAUGGGGGAAACCCUGAAGCAGCAACGCCGCGUGGGGGAUGAAGGUUUUCGGAUUGUAAACUCCUGUUGUUAGAGAAGAUAAUGACGGUAUCUAACGAAUAAGCACCGGCUAACUCCGUGCCAGCAGCCGCGGUAAUACGGAGGGUGCAGCGUUACUCGGAAUCACUGGGCGUAAAGGGCGCGGAGGCGGGAUAGCAAGUCAGAUGUGAAAUCCUAUGGAUUAACCAUAGAACUGCAUUUGAAACUGCUAAUCUUGAGUAUGGGAGAGGUAGGUGGAAUUCUCGGUGUAGGGGUAAAAUCCGUAGAGAUCAAGAGGAAUACUCGUGGCGAAGGCGACCUGCUAGAACAUAACUGACGCUGAGGCGCGAAAGCGUGGGGAGCAAACAGGAUUAGAUACCCGGGUAGUC